This 253-nucleotide ribosomal RNA is filed under the name uncultured bacterium. RNAcentral's name for it is "partial 16S ribosomal RNA". It matches the Rfam family "Bacterial small subunit ribosomal RNA", at positions 524 to 776 of the family's 1533-position model. The record is from RNAcentral.
UACGUAGGGGGCAAGCGUUGUCCGGAUUUAUUGGGCGUAAAGAGCGUGUAGGCGGUUCGGUAGGUCCGUUGUGAAAACUCGAGGCUCAACCUCGAGACGCCGAUGGAAACCCUCGAACUAGAGUCCGGAAGAGGAGAAUGGAAUUCCUGGUGUAGCGGUGAAAUGCGCAGAUAUCAGGAGGAACACCAAUGGCGAAGGCAGCUCGCUGGGACGGUACUGACGCUGAGACGCGAAAGCGUGGGGAGCAAACAGG